CAGGGAGACAACAAAAUGUUAAAUAUUAAUUUUGUCACCUUAGGUCGAUCGGUAUCUCACAUUCUUAAUUUAUUAAGGAUUUUAUUUCCUAAGUUUUUUCUAGGUCACACCCAUUACUUUUCCUGGGCCAUUAGCUCAGGUGGUUAGAGCGCACCCCUGAUAAGGGUGAGGUCCCUGGUUCAAGUCCAGGAUGGCCCAUAUCUCUAUGUUGGGGGUAUAGCUCAGUUGGUAGAGCGCCUGCUUUGCAAGCAGGAUGUCAGCGGUUCGAGUCCGCUUACCUCCACUGAUUACCACCUCUCCCAUAAUUUUUUGAAGGGAAAUGUUUUGAGUAGUGAUCAAUUCUGAACGAAUCUAGCUUCCUAAUCAAAUUAAUUAAGAUGCUGGACUCAUUGAAUUAAUUUCAUUGUUUUCAGAGAACCUUGACAACUGCAUAGAUUAUUUUAAAGACAAUAAGCAUCUUUAAUGAUGCAGAUUUAUUAUUUGUGCGAAUGCAUUAAUAACAAUUCUAUUAAGCUGAUGCUUCAAUUUUUGAAGUUAUU
Molecule: transfer RNA, 539 nt
Filed under: uncultured Prochlorococcus sp.
Lineage: Bacteria; Bacillati; Cyanobacteriota; Cyanophyceae; Synechococcales; Prochlorococcaceae
Description: partial 16S-23S ribosomal RNA intergenic spacer
Rfam family: tRNA (bases 211-283)
Source: RNAcentral